Lolium perenne is the source of this 857-nucleotide long non-coding RNA. RefSeq lists it as uncharacterized. Lineage: Eukaryota; Viridiplantae; Streptophyta; Magnoliopsida; Poales; Poaceae. The record is from RefSeq and is a predicted model, not a curated record.
ACUUGCGCAACAUGGAUAGUACGGAGGGAAAAUCCAUGGUAAAACGUAUUUUUAAUACUGCCAUUAAAGGGCUUAGGCGUCUUGGUUGCAGCCGCCAUGAUGAUGUUGUCAGUCGAGCAUUCGACAUGCCGGAGGCACCGUCGAACAGACCGAGUAUGGUACGUGUGAGCCAGCCAUCCGCCACACCGACCGUACCAGUUCCCUCUACCUCGCAUACAUCUAAUCCACGACGCGACUCAUCUCUACUUGAACGAUCACAGUCCGCACACAUAUCUCAACGCCAUGGCGCCACACAGGUAAUCAACUUACGUACAUACAUUCCUCCUGAACUUACAACAAUGACACAUUUUUUUCCAAUUGUAUUAGGAGGACGAUCAUUUUCCGUCAUAUCCAUCUGGACAACGAUUCUCAUACACAGAAGGCGAAUACUCGCAAAGAUUCAACACUCAGGAAUCUGUUGACCCUACGUGGUCCAACAUGGGAGCUGGUUUAGGCCACAAUAUGCCUCCACUGCGUGGUCGUGACCACAUGCAAUCGCAAUACCCAACUCAGGAAUCUUUAAUCCCGACAUGGCCCGAUAUGACGCAGCAACCACAAUACUACGGCAGCACUUCCCAACAACCUCGCGAUGAUGUUACCGGGAUAGUUGAAGAAUUCUUUGGAGGUGCUAUUUUCGGCACAGAUGCCAGUUUGAUUCCCCCAAAUCAGGAAUCUCCAUACAUAUUUCAGACUCCAUCGCCAGCAGAUGAGACACGUACAGAGGAUGAGGAAAAUCAGUACGGCCGAGGUUUGCGUCCACCUCAUCCCCCUCGUCCCUGGUUGUCGCCUUCCGGUCCAAGGCCACGGCAGCAACGUCG